This 465-nucleotide ribosomal RNA is filed under the name uncultured bacterium. RNAcentral describes it as "bacterial SSU rRNA". It matches the Rfam family "Bacterial small subunit ribosomal RNA", at positions 917 to 1382 of the family's 1533-position model. The record is from RNAcentral.
GGGCCCGCACAAGCGGUGGAGCAUGUGGUUUAAUUCGACGCAACGCGAAGAACCUUACCUGGGUUUGACAUGCAUCGGACCGGUGGUGAAAGCCAUCUUCUCUUCGGAGCUGGUGCACAGGUGCUGCAUGGCUGUCGUCAGCUCGUGUCGUGAGAUGUUGGGUUAAGUCCCGCAACGAGCGCAACCCUCGCCCUCUGUUGCUACCGGGUCAUGCCGGGCACUCUGAGGGGACUGCCCCGGUGAACGGGGAGGAAGGUGGGGAUGACGUCAAGUCCUCAUGGCCUUUAUGUCCAGGGCUACACACGUGCUACAAUGGUCAGGACAAUGGGUCGCUCCCUCGCAAGAGGUUGCCAAUCUCAAAAACCUGAUCCUAGUUCGGAUGGUCGGCUGCAACUCGCCGGCCUGAAGCUGGAAUCGCUAGUAAUCGGAGAUCAGCACGCUCCGGUGAAUACGUUCCCGGGCCUU